AAAAAUGCAAAGGAGACAUUCUGGCCCAACCAAAAAUGACCACUGAGAUCAACAAUACAAAAACCAUUAAUGCCACAAAUCAGACUACACUAUCUUCUGUAUAAUUCGUGAAAAAGCUGUAGGAAUUAGCCAGAGUUUUCAACUUCCAGUUCCAUCUUCUAAUUUAUUGAUUGAACAAAUAAAUUACUCAUACACAAACUAACUGAAAAGAGAUCGUUGACGUCAUGUUUUUUACAUCCUCAUUUCACACAAGAAAGGACACCCGCAAAGAAGCACAUAUAUUUUACCAAAGAAGAUGUAGACAAAGCAUAAUUAGAUGAACAGAAAUGAAAAGGAACUUCCAACUCAAACCGAUCUUCGAAGUAUUAUUUCCAGGACCUGGACUGAUGGCUGGACAAGUAUUUACUGUGGCAAGUGUUGUCAAGAUAGUUUGGUUAUUGAACCCAGAAUAGGCACAGCUUGUUUGGUUGCAGCCUACAAUUGUGGUGUUUCCAAUGGAUAAAUUGUCCGCACCUUCACAUAGCGUGGUGGAAGGACAAGUUAGCCAGGUGUUGUUAGCUGGUCUAAGCUGAGAUGGCUGACAUUGUAAUGUCCAGUUUUUUGCAGAAUCACAAUUGCAUCUCAUGCAACUGUUAGCAGUGAAGACAUAAGUGCCAUUAGGAACGAGUAAAGGGUAAUCUAGCGAGCUAGCGAUCACCGAUGAAUUACAAGCUUUGAGUGGGACAUCAAGAACUUGGCCAGCCAUGAGAGAACUGUCAUUAACAAUUGAAUUAAGGCUCAUAAGCGUGUCUUUAGUAGUGCCGUAUUCCUCUGCAAUCAACUCCAGCGUGCUCCCGGCUUCCACCACGUGUCCAUAAUGGACAACUCUCUCUCCUCCUACCUCAUCGCAGCUGCACGGUAACGGAAUCCACAGCUCAUCCCUUGGAUGAAUCAAGCUCGCGUUCUUUAUAUUAUUAACGGCCGCGAUUUGCUGAUUCGUCACCAAUCCUGAGAACACCUCCCUAGCGAUAUGAUCAAGGUCGUCGCCUGAUUGAACGAUGUAGGUGGGUUUCUUGUUAGAGAUGCCAGUCCCGUUGGAGCACAAGCAAGUGAAGGGGAUCUUGAUAGUCUGCUGCGCGGCUACAGUUUGGUUGGGUAAGGUCGAGAGAGGGAAAUUAUUAGCGCCGAGGAGGGAGCGGAGGUUUUUGAUUGAAAAUAGGGCUUCAAUGGCGGAGAGUGUGCUGGUAUUCGGAGAGACAUAGUCAAUCAGGGCGUGGCAAGUGGCGGAUGUGGUGCAUUUGAAGGGCUGCGACUGCGAGGAUGAAUUAGUGGCGAGCGAAGCAAAGAACAGUAGCAUUAGACUGAGAAGUAGAUGAGCAGUAGGAAGAGCCAUUUCUGGCUGCAAUGGAGUUUUUGCGCGAUGUUCAAAGAAGAAGAAGAAGAAGAGGGCAGAAUGGGGUUUUUGCUGGGUUUGAACUGUGGAAGAGGAGACUUUUUUUUU
This 1480-nucleotide unclassified non-coding RNA is filed under the name Hevea brasiliensis (rubber tree). Lineage: Eukaryota; Viridiplantae; Streptophyta; Magnoliopsida; Malpighiales; Euphorbiaceae. The record is from RNAcentral.